RNAcentral lists this ribosomal RNA (468 nucleotides) under uncultured bacterium. RNAcentral's name for it is "partial 16S ribosomal RNA". It matches the Rfam family "Bacterial small subunit ribosomal RNA", at positions 28 to 507 of the family's 1533-position model. The record is from RNAcentral.
GACGAACGCUGGCGGCGUGCUUAACACAUGCAAGUCGAACGGAAAGACCCUGCUUUUGUGGGGUGCUCGAGUGGCGAACGGGUGAGUAACACGUGAGUAACCUGCCCUUGACUUUGGGAUAACUUCAGGAAACUGGGGCUAAUACCGGAUAGGAGCUCCUGCUGCAUGGUGGGGGUUGGAAAGUUUCGGCGGUUGGGGAUGGACUCGCGGCUUAUCAGCUUGUUGGUGGUGUAGUGGCUUACCAAGGCUUUGACGGGUAGCCGGCCUGAGAGGGUGACCGGCCACAUUGGGACUGAGAUACGGCCCAGACUCCUACGGGAGGCAGCAGUGGGGAAUAUUGCACAAUGGGCGGAAGCCUGAUGCAGCAACGCCGCGUGCGGGAUGACGGCCUUCGGGUUGUAAACCGCUUUCGCCUGUGACGAAGCGUGAGUGACGGUAAUGGGUAAAGAAGCACCGGCUAACUACGUG